AUAGGACGUCCCCUUCGGGGGCAGAGUGACAGGUGGUGCAUGGUUGUCGUCAGCUCGUGUCGUGAGAUGUUGGGUUAAGUCCCGCAACGAGCGCAACCCUUGAUCUUAGUUGCCAGCAUUCAGUUGGGCACUCUAAGGUGACUGCCGGUGACAAACCGGAGGAAGGUGGGGAUGACGUCAAAUCAUCAUGCCCCUUAUGACCUGGGCUACACACGUGCUACAAUGGACAGAACAAAGGGCAGCGAAACCGCGAGGUUAAGCCAAUCCCACAAAUCUGUUCUCAGUUCGGAUCGCAGUCUGCAACUCGACUGCGUGAAGCUGGAAUCGCUAGUAAUCGCGGAUCAGCAUGCCGCGGUGAAUAAGUUCCCGGGCCUUGUACACCCCGCCCGUCACACCACGAGAGUUUGUAACACCCGAAGUCGGUGAGGUAACCUUUAGGAGCCAUCCGCCGAAGGUGGACAAGAA
This 465-nucleotide ribosomal RNA is filed under the name Agrobacterium tumefaciens. RNAcentral's name for it is "bacterial SSU rRNA". It matches the Rfam family "Bacterial small subunit ribosomal RNA", at positions 1006 to 1473 of the family's 1533-position model. Lineage: Bacteria; Pseudomonadati; Pseudomonadota; Alphaproteobacteria; Hyphomicrobiales; Rhizobiaceae. The record is from RNAcentral.